UUUUUUUUUUUAAUGGAAAAAGGAGGCUUAUAUUAAUAGGAUAUAUAAAUACACAUAAGCUGUAUGAUGAGUUUAAAUAAUAAAGAAACAAAAUGAGGCAACCGUACAAGGAAAAAUCAUAUUGGCUGAGAAGUGGAGGGAAAAAUACAAGAAUAAAAUACAUGAGAUUUUACUCGGCAUGACCUGGUUCCAAGAAGAACAAAAUCAUAAAGGGGUCUCAAAAUCCAGCAGUGAGCAAAACAGGAACCCUUCUGAAAUCAGCUGUUAUCAAAUUCCAUGUUAUAGAUUGGAAAUUUAAGAUAAUCAUGCUUGCCAUGGAAAACCUGAACUCAAAUCAAUUGUUCCAUACUGAGAUGCACUUAUGGUAUAAAGUUACCCCGGCUAUGCUCUCGACUCUGCCAGCUACUUUGACUGUUAUCAAAAAAAUCUGAACUAUAGUCCUGGCUACCAAAUGCCAACUUCUGAAACAUACGAAUCUGCGCAGAAUGUUGUCUUGAGUCAAAGAUUUCACUUUGGCCAGGUUUCAUUCC
Molecule: unclassified non-coding RNA, 530 nt
Filed under: Hevea brasiliensis (rubber tree)
Lineage: Eukaryota; Viridiplantae; Streptophyta; Magnoliopsida; Malpighiales; Euphorbiaceae
Source: RNAcentral